Molecule: ribosomal RNA, 434 nt
Filed under: uncultured bacterium
Lineage: Bacteria
Description: partial 16S ribosomal RNA
Rfam family: Bacterial small subunit ribosomal RNA
Source: RNAcentral
AGCGAACGCUGGCGGCAGGCCUAACACAUGCAAGUCGAACGAACCUUUCGGGGUUAGUGGCGGACGGGUGAGUAACACGUGGGAACGUGCCUUUAGGUUCGGAAUAACUUAGGGAAACUUGUGCUAAUACCGAAUGUGCUCCUCGGGGGAAAGAUUAAUCGCCUUUAGAGCGGCCUGCGUCUGAUUAGCUAGUUGGUUGAGGUAAUGGCUCACCAAGGCGACGAUCAGUAGCUGGUCUGAGAGGAUGAUCAGCCACAUUGGGACUGAGACACGGCCCAAACUCCUACGGGAGGCAGCAGUGGGGAAUCUUGCGCAAUGGGCGAAAGCCUGACGCAGCCAUGACGCGUGAAUGAUGAAGGUCUUAGGAUUGUAAAAUUCUUUCACCGGGGACGAUAAUGACGGUACCCGGAGAAGAAGCCCCGGCUAACUUCGUG